AACGAACGCUGGCGGCAUGCCUAACACAUGCAAGUCGAACGAGACCUUCGGGUCUAGUGGCGCACGGGUGCGUAACGCGUGGGAACCUGCCCUUAGGUUCGGAAUAACUCCCCGAAAGGGGUGCUAAUACCGGAUAAUGUCUUCGGACCAAAGAUUUAUCGCCUUUGGAUGGGCCCGCGUUGGAUUAGCUAGUUGGUAGGGUAAAAGCCUACCAAGGCGACGAUCCAUAGCUGGUCUGAGAGGAUGAUCAGCCACACUGGGACUGAGACACGGCCCAGACUCCUACGGGAGGCAGCAGUAGGGAAUAUUGGACAAUGGGCGAAAGCCUGAUCCAGCAAUGCCGCGUGAGUGAUGAAGGCCUUAGGGUUGUAAAGCUCUUUUACUCGGGAUGAUAAUGACAGUACCGGGAGAAUAAGCUCCGGCUAACUCCGUG
RNAcentral lists this ribosomal RNA (433 nucleotides) under uncultured bacterium. Its description in RNAcentral is "partial 16S ribosomal RNA". It matches the Rfam family "Bacterial small subunit ribosomal RNA", at positions 29 to 507 of the family's 1533-position model. The record is from RNAcentral.